ACCUCCUGUAAACAACCCAAGUGAAGUGCGGUGUUGACGUAUGUGGCUCGAUUACGGACAUACCACGACAACCGCUUGCGAGCACGCUAAAAUGCAUUAGAUUCAGCCUAAUUGCAAAUCAUUAUUUUAUUAUAAGUUAUACAUGCUGUGCAAGUGUGGGAUGGUUGGUCUGAAAAUAGCAUAACGAGCUAACAUUAGCAAACAACUCGUAACACAAGUCAAUGUUACGUCACGUGGUGUGAGUAGGGCGGCCAUCUUUCUCUAAAAACACAAACAACAAGAGUAAGGAGCAGACUUCUCGACUAGACAUCAACACGCAGCGACCGUAGGAGAGGGGGUAAAUAAAUCAAAUAUUGAGCACGACUUCAUGAGAGUAUCAGUACAAUUCUGUUGGAGGAGGAUGUUUGCAGAAAGAGAAAGGAAACCAAUGCAUAUGAAUUAAAACUGAAGAUUGUACACAACAAAACGUAUUUAAAAAAAUAAAUAAACGACAUUAAUUCAAAGCAGUUUGAAGGGAGGUGGACAGGAAUCAAAGGUGUCGACACCUAGAGGGUCAGUCAAGCCACGUUUCAGUCGGAGAGAGAACGACAGGAGGGAAAAGAGGGAGAGAAGGAGGGAGAGUCGCGUCUGCUCCUGGCAGCUGUUCCAGCAGCCUGUUCUGUUUCCCCCUAGGUUUUUAAUUUAAAUCGAGAAUAAUCGUCAUUUUUUUCAUGUCAAAUGUGAUAUUACUGCUGUUGUCGUAAUCAUUACUGUUACUAUCGAGUAUUUUAUUUUGUUUGUUUCAUCAACUCGUUUUCGGAUUAUUCCAGUUUCUUGUUUUUAUUUUUACGACUUUUUCCAGCUGUGAGCAGAGGCUUCUUCCAAACUGUCCUCAUAUCCAUACCAGUACUCUAUCCCCUAUACACACCUGAAACAGGCAGCUAUUCUCUAUCUCUGUGUGUAUUGGGGAGCUCUGUUACCACAGCUGUGUAAGCACCACUCAGCCUUCUCACUCAGCCUUCUAAGCCUAACUAAGCCAGUCCUAGCCUGGUCCAGCGAAGUCCAGCCUGGUCCACUCUUCUGGACAGGAUACUCAGCUCUGUAAAGACGUGAGGAAUAUGACUGCUGAGACACUUAACUUCGGCCCAGAAUGGCUCCGUGCACUAUCCAGUGGGGGGAGUGUGACGUCCCCCCCUCCUUCCCCCGCCAUGCCAAAGUACAAGCUGGCCGAGUAUCGCUACGGCCGAGAGGAGAUGUUAGCACUUUAUAUCAAAGAGA
This is a long non-coding RNA of Salvelinus sp. IW2-2015, 1257 nucleotides long. RefSeq lists it as uncharacterized. Lineage: Eukaryota; Metazoa; Chordata; Actinopteri; Salmoniformes; Salmonidae. The record is from RefSeq and is a predicted model, not a curated record.